RNAcentral lists this ribosomal RNA (471 nucleotides) under uncultured organism. RNAcentral describes it as "partial 16S ribosomal RNA". It matches the Rfam family "Bacterial small subunit ribosomal RNA", at positions 334 to 797 of the family's 1533-position model. The record is from RNAcentral.
CACUCCUGCGGGAGGCAGCAGUGGGGAAUUUUGGACAAUGGGCGAAAGCCUGAUCCAGCAAUGCCGCGUGUGUGAAGAAGGCCUUCGGGUUGUAAAGCACUUUUGUCCGGAAAGAAAUCCUUGGCUCUAAUACAGUCGGGGGAUGACGGUACCGGAAGAAUAAGCACCGGCUAACUACGUGCCAGCAGCCGCGGUAAUACGUAGGGUGCGAGCGUUAAUCGGAAUUACUGGGCGUAAAGCGUGCGCAGGCGGUUUGCUAAGACCGAGGUGAAAUCCCCGGGCUCAACCUGGGAACUGCAUUGGUGACUGGCAGGCUAGAGUAUGGCAGAGGGGGGUAGAAUUCCACGUGUAGCAGUGAAAUGCGUAGAGAUGUGGAGGAAUACCGAGGGCGAAGGCAGCCCCCUGGGCCAAUACUGACGCUCAUGCACGAAAGCGUGGGGAGCAAACAGGAUUAGAAACCCCGGUAGUCCC